GCAAGGGCAGGGACCGAACCCGCAACCUCAUGGUUUCUAGUCGGAUUCGUUAACCACUGCGCCACGACGGGAACUCCAGAAAUGUCUUUUUCAAUUCAGCAAUUAAAUUGUUUUAUAAAUACUCCUGGUUAUAUAAGGGAAAAUAGUAAUUUCAGAUUUUAGUGCAGCCUGAAAAAAAAUUCUCACCUUCCCCAAAGUUUGCUUAACAAUGUGUACCAGUUUGGUGAAUGAGACUUUUCUAAUUUUUGAAUUUUUUGCUAAAAUUCCAAACUGCAGAAAACUGAGUGUUUCCAUGUUGUGCAGAGAGCCAUCAGUAAGCCCUGAAUAUCUAUCUCCCUUUUGGAUCAUAUUAAGAGAUAGCAUGGGCUUUUUAAAGGCACACAAAUAAUUUAAAAAAUAUAUUACAUAGUUACAUGAAAUGGGUGAAGGGGAUCAAAAGGUAUAAGUUUCCAGUUAUAAAUAAGUCAUGGGUUUGUAAUGUACAGCAUGGCAACUAUAGUUAAUGAUUUUGCACUGCAUAUGUGAAGUUGCUGAAAGAAUAGCUAAACUUUCUCAUUACAGGAAAAAAAUUUUGUAACUACAUAUGGUGAUGGAUAUUAAACAGACUUAUUAUGGUGAUCAUUUUGCCAUAUAUACAAAUAUUGAAUCAUUAUGUUCUACACCAGAAAUUUAUAUACUAUGAUAUCGCCAAUUAACCUUAACUUUAAAAAGCUAAAUCACAUGAAAAGGAACAGCUUAAUUUGCCCUGAUAUUCCCAACUAUCAUUCCCAGCAGAUAUCGAUGAAAGUAAUAGGCUUCAAGGGUAUUCACUGUGGUUUUGAAUUCUUCACCAGCCCAGAGUGGUGAAGAAUUCACCACUCACAAACCAAGAUACAUGGGGUUGAGGAGAGUACCUCACAGGAAUUGGGGGUGCCUGGAAGAGGAUUGGCAUUGAUAUCUCAGUCAUGGAUUGGAUGCCCAUUCCCAUGGCGGCCUUUCAGAUCUGUUCCACAAUUACGUAAGCUCUGGUGGGGCAAAAUGAGAGGAACUACAAGGCAGAGAGGGAACAGCAGGUGAGAAGCUUGUGCAUCCAUUGUUUAGGGCACAAAGAGGUAGAAUUUUACAAAGGGGGUUACCUAAUGCAAAGGAAUGCUGUGUGUGUGAUCACCAGGGAGGGACAUUUGAGGCAAGGUUGGAAGCAAUGAGCCAGAACAGAUGUUUCACUUUAGAAGGCUAAGCAGAGGGGAGGGAUCCUUCAAGAGACACCCAAUAGAAUUCACAUGCACUCUCCUGAAUAAAACAAGCCUUUCAAUGCCCACCACAGAGAAAGCAGUUUUGGCUGAGAGAGGACUGCAGCUGCUCAAGGGUUUCCUUUGCUGUGCAGACGAUGUGACUGUUGUAUGCACUGAACAAUGCCUGCACAAGACAGUACGCAAUAAUCCCAGUGAUGCUUCAUUGUUUUUCAUUAUCGCACUGGCAUCUAACUGUACAUGCUCCAUUGCUCAUGCCAUCAUCCUAAUGAAGAAAUACUUUCAAACAGUGGAAUGGACCAUGUGCUUUAUCUUAGCCUAACUGAAGGCUGUUGGAUGAAAAGUGAUAAGCUGUUGCCUGACGUUUUCUAAAACUAUUUUUAUUUCUUGUACCUGGGUGUAAAAUGUGGAUACAUCUACUUAUUUAUAGUAAUUUUUAAGGUUCUGGAUAAGUAUCUUCUACAAGGAAUACAAUUUACAGGUCUUAGAAAUGAUUCAGCCUAGUAUUUACUAAAAAGAUUCAAAUAUAUCCGUUGAACAAAUGAAUAAAACAGCAAGCAUGGAAUUGGAUACUACCACAUAGAAAUGUGGUUUAUCAUUUCUGAGAGCUGGGGGUUUCAGGGUAUGUGAUGAGAAUGACAUAAAGAUGCAGUUUGAUCACAGACAGAUUUCAGUCUGGAGAGGAGCAGAGCUAUAUCCACACUAUACACCCUUGUCCCCAUCUUCCUUAGCAUCGUCUUGGAGUUGGUCUAUGGCAUACUAUAGUCUUUGAAAAAUUCUGUCUUAAAGAAUUCCAUUACCAUAACCUGUGUGUUAGAAGUCUCAAUGAUAAAUGAAAGGCUAAGGAGUAGGUUUGUUUGAGUUGAGAGGAUGCUAGUUCACAAGUGUUCAUGUGUAUAUAUAUAAAAUUAUCAGAAAUGAUGCACUUUGUUGCUUUGCUUCCUUCUCUGUGCCCCCUCAUGAAUACUUCCAGGAGUAUUACUUCCUGGCUUAGGAAGGGUAUAAUUUAAAAGGGGGAAGAAACAUUUUGACAUUUUAAUAAAUCCUAUUAAUAAACUGACAUUUGGUUUUACAAAUAAACUUGGGAUUUCCAAAUACCUGAUUUUUAACUGAAAGGUACUAUACUUGAGCUUGCUGUCAGGAAAACGUAUUGAGAAAAAUGCCAGAUACAUAAAGUGCUGGUGUUCUCCCUUUAGGUAUGUUUUAUUAUUACCAUGUUGUACUCUGACCUGCAUGUAAAUAUUCCUGCUCAUUCCAAGGUCUAAAAAACCUGGUACAAAUAGGCUGCCACUGGGCUAAGAACCUUUGAGUUCUAAAAUGACUCUGGAGCAAUGUAUAUGAAGGUAGGCCAUGCAUAGUCAUGCAGAAAUGUUAAGGAGUUUCUCCUUAUGUAUGCACAACUGGAGGCAUUGCUCUUCUUUGCCUAAGAUUUAUACUUCUGCUGUAUCAAAAUAAUCUUUUAGUUAAGGGCUAUCUGGAAACUUUAUUUUUAAAAGCUUGGCCACUUUAAUCAAUACUUUAAAUAAUUAAUUUAGUACUAAAAUUCAUUUAAAAAAUAGGAAAAUUUUCAGCAUGAAAUUGUACAUUCCCUUUGUGGAAGGGCUAUUUCCAGUAAAUGUAGUCAAUAAAUUUAUCUCUGAAGGCACAAAUGUAUGCCCAAGAACUUUGAAUAUCUGUGAAGUGGUUUCUUUGAGAAAAAGCCAAAAUAUUGUGCUUUGAGGUUGGUAAACUAUGAGAAAUCUCUCUUUAAUAUGAAAUUAAGAUAUUUUUCUUGUCGUUAAGGGGAAAAUGCCUUCCAAAUUUUAUUCUUUUGAGUACCCAAUAUCUCUUCAAAAAAAAAAAAACUUUAUGCUAAACUUGUUGAAAACUGGUUAACAGAGUGUUUCAAUUCCUGUGUCAAAAGCUCUAUGAAAAUAAUUAUUAUGUAUUAUAUAAACUGAUAAGCAUGACAAAUUAAGUGUUAACCCAGAAGACUCCUUUCUGUUUCUAAAGAUUAGAAACAAAAUAUGAAGUUUUAAAAAAUUGAUGGUAAUAACACAUAAAGAAAAAUUAAAAAAUGGUCAUUAAUGUUGCAGAAUAAAUUUGUAUUUUGUCAACAGAUGAUAAAUAUAUAUUGAAUAAAUAGACUUUAUUAUCUAAAAUAGCCCCUUUCUUAGUUGCCAGUAACAGAAAUUUACUGGAUAAUUUAAGCUGAAAGGAAAUAUAUUACAGUAUGUUAGGUAGCUCACAGAUUCAAUACAAAGGUAGAAAGCCUGGCUUAGAAAACAGGCAGUGACCACAGAGGGCACAAACCACAACCUGGGUCACCUCAUAGGACUAAUCUCUAAACUUGUCCAGUGUCUUUACGUUCUUCUCCCAAGAUGCAAAGUCUUGAGGGUGGGGGCUGGGCAGAAUAUGAGAUAUCUGAGAACCUGAGCCUGUUUCCCACACUUUCUGUCCUGGAUUCCAGGGAUAGGAAACUACCUCCUUCCUUAGCUCCCAUGUUAGAGCUAGGAUGUUUGAUCCUACCAGUAUUAUAACCAACUGAGAAUUCUCCAAAAAUAGGAAAGGAAUUUGUGUUGCCUCUCCCCAGAUGAUAAAUACCUGCUUCAAAAAACUAAGAAAGAGAACUCUCUGUGAACAUACCUGAAGUCUGAGAUAUAAUAAUUCUUACUAUACAGACUAACUGUAUUAACUGGAUUAUUUAGAGGAUAAGUAAGCUAAUGUAAAAAAUUACACUGGAUUAUUUAGAGGAUAAGUAAGCUAAUAUGAAAAAUUAAGCAUAUAAAUGUGAUUUGGAAAAUUUGAAACUUUGGGCUGCGAUAGGAUUGAAAUAGUUUUAGUUUUAAUGCAUAGGGUUCAGUGAUAUUCCAAUUCCAGAGAAUUUGAAUAGUGACUAUCUAAAAAUAUUUUGUCUCUUUUUUUUUUUUUUUGUAUUUUUAGGGCUGCA
Molecule: non-coding RNA, 4158 nt
Organism: Sus scrofa (pig)
Lineage: Eukaryota; Metazoa; Chordata; Mammalia; Artiodactyla; Suidae
Source: RefSeq, a predicted model, not a curated record